Molecule: ribosomal RNA, 398 nt
Filed under: uncultured bacterium
Lineage: Bacteria
Description: partial 16S ribosomal RNA
Rfam family: Bacterial small subunit ribosomal RNA
Source: RNAcentral
AAUAUUGGGCAAUGGGCGAAAGCCUGACCCAGCAACGCCGCGUGAGGGAAGAAGGCCUUCGGGUCGUAAACCUCUGUCGCAGGGGACGAGAAGAAGACGGUACCCUGCGAGGAAGCCCCGGCUAACUACGUGCCAGCAGCCGCGGUAAUACGGAGGGGGCAAGCGUUGUCCGGAAUGCCUGGGCGUAAAGGGCGCGUAGGUGGCCUUACAAGUUUGGAGUGAAAGUCCCGCUUUCAAGGUGGGAAUUGCUUUGAAGACUGUAGGGCUUGAGUGUGGGAGAGGAUAGCGGAAUUCCCGGUGUAGCGGUGAAAUGCGUAGAGAUCGGGAGGAACACCAGUGGCGAAGGCGGCUAUCUGGACCAAGACUGACACUGAGGCGCGAAAGCGUGGGUAGCAAAC